Long non-coding RNA from Maylandia zebra (zebra mbuna), 554 nucleotides. RefSeq lists it as uncharacterized. The record is from RefSeq and is a predicted model, not a curated record. NCBI's taxonomy places the organism in Eukaryota, Metazoa, Chordata, Actinopteri, Cichliformes, Cichlidae.
UGGUUUAUAUUAUUUUAAGCAAAUGCCAAAGGCAUACACUACUUUAGAGUUUUGCUCAUUAUUUAGUAAGAAAUAUGUAUUUUGUGUAAAUUAACUGAUAGCAAUGUUAAUGACAUGUUAAGUAAUAUUAAGUAAUGUUCCUAUUUUAUAGAAAGGUUUAAGAGUAUGGACAAACCAAAUCUCUGAGAGAUGCAACCAGAAGACGGAUGAGAAACAUACUUGAGGCUGAGAUGACAGAAUGACAUGGGACAUCUCCCCCUAAAAGCGUAAGAGUGAUGUAUGCGCAGGACAUUGUUGCUCUGUCUCCAUAUCUGGAAGACCCAUAUUAACAACAUGGAUAUAAACAUUACUACGAUCCAGAGAACAGUUCAGGAUACAUUGCAUGGCGGUUGAAGACCAUUCAAAGAAAAGCUGUGGAGGAAAGAAGCGUCUCAGUUUGCAAAUCUCCCAAAAAUAGAACAAGAUUUCCGACUCCUGUUUUGUGAGGUCACUGGGAGCAAAUUCUUGGAGAGGUGGCUCACCAAUCUCAAAGCAAAGGUUGUAAAGGAAAGUCA